RNAcentral lists this ribosomal RNA (1576 nucleotides) under Craugastor loki (common leaf-litter frog). RNAcentral's name for it is "partial 16S ribosomal RNA". It matches the Rfam family "Bacterial large subunit ribosomal RNA", at positions 425 to 2925 of the family's 2925-position model. Lineage: Eukaryota; Metazoa; Chordata; Amphibia; Anura; Craugastoridae. The record is from RNAcentral.
CUAAAAACCUAGCCUUAAAUUACACCUAUACAAUAACCCCACCUCUUACACCUCAAUCAAAAUAUUCUUUAACUCUAGUAAAGAAGAUUAAAAAAUUUCUACAGCGCAAUAACUACGUACCGCAAGGGAAAGAUGAAAUAAUGAUGAAAUAUUUUUAAGCAUAAAAUAGUAGAGCCUAGCCCUCGUACCUUUUGCAUCAUGGUUUAACUAGUUUAAUCAAGCAUAAAGAUUUUAAGUCUGACACCCCGAAACCAGGUGAGCUACUCUAAGGCAGCUCACGAGCAAACCCAUCUCUGUUGCAAAAGAGUGGGAAGACCUUAAAGUAGUGGUGAUAUACCUAACGAACCUGGUGAUAGCUGGUUGCUUGUGAAAUGAAUUUUAGUUCUACCUAAAGUCACCUAAUAACCUCAAAUACCCCCUAUGACUUCAGAGUAAUUUAAGUGGGGGACAGCCCACUUAAAAUAGGAUACAGCCUCCCCCGAUGGGUAAUCACCUUAUUCUUCUUCUUCUAAGUGGGCCUAAAAGCAGCCAUCUUUAAAACCGCGUCAAAGCCUAUUAGAUAAUCUAAUCUAAAUUCCUCUCUCUCCACCAAACCCUCCACCCCUAACAAGCAAUUCUAUAAACUUAUAGAAUUUAUUAUGUUAAAACUAGUAACAAGAAGCCUACUUCUCUUUUAUGUAAACUUAACCCAGAACGGAUCAACCACUGGCAGUUAUCAGACCUCAAUAGUAACCUGACAAGAAAACUCAAUUACAAAUACUGUUAACCUAACUCAAGAACAUAACAAGAAAGAUUUAAAAUAAGGGAAGGAACUCGGCAAACCGUAGUCCCGCCUGUUUACCAAAAACAUCGCCUCUUGCACCUAUAAGAGGUCCAGCCUGCCCAGUGACUCAGUUCAACGGCCGCGGUAUACUAACCGUGCGAAGGUAGCGCAAUCACUUGUCUCUUAAAUAGAGACUUGUAUGAAUGGCAUCACGAGGACUUAACUGUCUCCCCUUCUUAAUCAGUGAAACUAAUCUCCCUGUGAAAAAGCAGGGAUUAACUUACAAGACGAGAAGACCCUAUGGAGCUUUAAACAAUGUAACACCUGCUCUCUUUUCCCACUCCAACACAACCAUAGCACUAUGAUUACAAGUUUUAGGUUGGGGUGACCGUUGAGAAAAACAAACCCUCCAUGCUAUAAAGUUUAACACUUAAAUCUAAGAGCCUCAGCCCCAAGAAUCAAUAAACUGAUAUAAUUGACCCAAACAUUUGAUCAACGAAACAAGUUACCCUAGGGAUAACAGCGCCAUCCACUUCAAAAGUACAUAUUGACAAGUGGGCUUACGACCUCGAUGUUGGAUCAGGGUACCCCAGUGGUGCAGCCGCUACUAAAGGUUUGUUUGUUCAACAAUUAAAAUCCUACGUGAUCUGAGUUCAGACCGGAGAAAUCCAGGUCGGUUUCUAUCUGUAAUAGAGUAUCCCCUAGUACGAAAGGAUCGGGACAACAUGGCCAAUAAGAACCUCAAGCCCUAAAGUCAACUUAUACCCCCCACUUAAUAAACAACUAAUCUACUCUCUAACCCUAAACAAGAGC